UACGGAGGAUCCAAGCGUUAUCCGGAUUUAUUGGGUUUAAAGGGUGCGUAGGCGGCCUGUUAAGUCAGGGGUGAAAUUUUUCGGCUCAACCGGAAGCUUGCCUUUGAUACUGAUGGGCUUGAAUAGACCUGAGGUAGGCGGAAUGUGACAAGUAGCGGUGAAAUGCAUAGAUAUGUCACAGAACACCGAUUGCGAAGGCAGCUUACUAAAGUCAGAUUGACGCUGAGGCACGAAAGCGUGGGGAUCAAACAGG
This 253-nucleotide ribosomal RNA is filed under the name uncultured bacterium. Its description in RNAcentral is "partial 16S ribosomal RNA". It matches the Rfam family "Bacterial small subunit ribosomal RNA", at positions 524 to 776 of the family's 1533-position model. The record is from RNAcentral.